UGUUGUGGUUAAAAAGCUCGUAGUUGGAUCUCGGCGGUCUGAGGGCGGUUCGCUUGAUUGAGUGCUACUGCUCUAUAGGCCGUGGUUUUGCCAGAGGUCUCGGGGUGCUCUUAACCGAGUGUCCUGCGAUGCUGGCAGGUUUACUUUGAAAAAAUUAGAGUGCUCAAAGCAGGCUUUUACGCCUGAAUAUUCGUGCAUGGAAUAAUAGAAUAGGAAGUCGUUUCUAUUUUGUUGGUUUUCGGAAAUCGACUUAAUGAUUAAUAGGGACAGUCGGGGGCAUUUGUAUUCAAACGACAGAGGUGAAAUUCUUGGACCGUUUGAAGACAAACUACUGCGAAAGCAUUUGCCAAGAAUGUUUUCAUUAAUCAAGAACGAAAGUUAGAGGUUCGAAGGCGAUUAGAUACCGCCCUAGUUCUAACCAUAAACGAUGCCAGCUAGCGAUCUGCCGACGUUUUCUUUGUAGACUCGGCAGGAAGCUUCCCGGGAAACCAAAGCAUUUGGGU
Molecule: ribosomal RNA, 503 nt
Filed under: uncultured marine eukaryote
Lineage: Eukaryota
Description: SSU rRNA
Rfam family: Eukaryotic small subunit ribosomal RNA
Source: RNAcentral